GAAAUGCGAUACGUAAUGCGAAUUGCAGAAUUCAGUGAAUCAUCAAAUCUUUGAACGCAAAUGGCACUGAUCGGAUAUGCCGGUCAGUACGUUUCUUUCAGUGUCGUUUCAACCACACUCAGCCUGCGUGCUUCAGUGCGCGUAGACUGGCACUUGAAUGUCACAGUCCUUUGGAUUGUGUCGUUUUAAAUAUCGCGGAACGAACUGUGCUUGAUUGCACACUGUGUCAAUUACUUGACAGUGACGUGGAUACUUUCGCUCUGUCGAAUCUUUACGUGACUGCCUAAGGAACGAUUCAGUGCGGCCUUGCGCAAUUGAUUCGGACCGAAGUCUGUGUUUGUCCUUUUCUAAACAAAAAGGGUGAAUGCUAAAUACUUCUUCGAUUAAGACCUGAAAUGAAGCGAGAGUACCCGCCGAACUUAA
RNAcentral lists this unclassified non-coding RNA (423 nucleotides) under uncultured Chaetothyriales. Its description in RNAcentral is "sequence contains ITS1". The stretch from base 1 to 106 matches the Rfam family "5.8S ribosomal RNA", at positions 50 to 154 of the family's 154-position model. The record is from RNAcentral. Lineage: Eukaryota; Fungi; Ascomycota; Eurotiomycetes; Chaetothyriales.